RNAcentral lists this long non-coding RNA (796 nucleotides) under Olea europaea (common olive). Its description in RNAcentral is "long non-coding RNA (OEUR_LNC015056)". The record is from RNAcentral. Lineage: Eukaryota; Viridiplantae; Streptophyta; Magnoliopsida; Lamiales; Oleaceae.
UUUAAAUUUGAGUUUAUUUUAUUUCCUUUGUUUUUAUGAAUUUGAAUAUUUAAAUAGUCAAAAUAUAUAACAUCAAAUCCCUUGGAAAAUAGUAAAUAACAGAAUCAUAUACAAGAGGAAAACCCACCAAUGUGAAAAAUCAAUUCCACUGAAAUAAAAUAAAAGAAAAAACAAUUAACUAUGUAUAAACUGGGUUGAAAGACCCUACAGCAACUCUAAACCCACAAGAGUUCGAUUCCGUGUUACUGUACUCAUUGCACUUGGUCCCACAACCACACACGAUUAAGUCAUUCUUCACCAUCCGAUCAUCUUCUACAGCUUCCUUCAUCACAUCCUGACCCUCCAUCACAUCAUCAUCUCGUUGAUUCGCAUUCUCUUCACAAUCAAAUUCUUCAAUUCCAUCCAUGUCGUCUUCAUCUCCUGCAUGCUCGAGAACUUCGUAGUCUACAACGACUAAGUUCAAUACAAGACGCCCAUUUGCCCUAUGAGCUUCAAAAUAUUCUUGGCUCUUCAGUUUUUGUUCCUUGAUUACUACUCUUCCAUCGAGUGCAAUAUUUUUUCGUCGCCCAUGGCGAAAUCGGUGGAGGGUACUCCUUUUUUUCCUUCUUCAUCACCCUCCGCUGUCUUCCUCCGCCUCCAUUAUCCGCCGCCGGCAUGAGAUCAUUAAAAUCCACCACAAACUCAAAACAACUCUCCGCCCCAACAUAAUCACCCGAAGUUGAGUUCCAGUUCUGCAUGGAGGAGAGUUUUAUAAAAAAAAUAUAAUGGGUUUUCAAGAGAAAAUUUCUGAAUUUUG